Struthio camelus australis is the source of this 416-nucleotide long non-coding RNA. RefSeq lists it as uncharacterized. The record is from RefSeq and is a predicted model, not a curated record. Lineage: Eukaryota; Metazoa; Chordata; Aves; Struthioniformes; Struthionidae.
UGUGAAAACCCUUUGCUGAUGCAAACCUACACAAGUUCAGCAUGACUAAAAUUAGAAAGAAAAAGGAGGAAAUCCGGACUUCAUUAAAAUCAGUGGAUGUUUCUGAGCAGAAUUUCCAUUAAUUAAUUUCAGUGGGGCCAGGAUUUCAUCCCAAAGCACAGCCCAGAUGCAGCUUUGAGAAGGAAAGAAUGAUUGAGGAAGUUCAGCCCACAAAGAUCUGUGAUGCCUACUGCCAUCAGGAAGGUUUUGGUUGGACAGCUUAGUUGGGGGUGCACAUGCCCUGGGUGGCCCUGUGAAUGAAGGUCCUUGACAGAGGAUAACACCCAGAUACCUUGCUGGAUGCAGAAGUUAUUGGCGCAUGAAGUAGACCAAGGGACUAAUGAUGAUGAAAGGAGAAGCAGAUCUGCCCUCUUGUG